CCUACGGGAGGCAGCAGUGAGGAAUAUUCGUCAAUGGACGCAAGUCUGAACCAGCCAUGCCGCGUGCAGGAAGACGGCUCUAUGAGCUGUAAACUGCGUUUGUACGAGGGUAAACGCAGAUACGCGUAUCUGUCUGACAGUAUCGUACGAAUACGGAACGGCUAACUCCGGGCCAUCAGCCGCGGUAAUACGGAGGGUUCAAGCGUUAUCCGGAUUUAUUGGGUUUAAGGGGUGCGUAGGGGGUCGGAUAAGUUAGAGGUGAAAUCCCGAGGCUCAACUUCGGAAUUGCAUCUGAUACUGUGCGGCUAGAGAGUAGAUGCGGUAGGCGGAAUGUAUGGUGUAGCGGUGAAAUGCUUAGAGAUAAUACAGAACACCGAUUGCGAAGGCAGCUUACCGAGCUACUUCUGACGUUGAGGCACGAAAGCGUGGGGAGCAAACAGGAUUAGAUACCCGAGUAGUC
RNAcentral lists this ribosomal RNA (460 nucleotides) under uncultured bacterium. Its description in RNAcentral is "partial 16S ribosomal RNA". It matches the Rfam family "Bacterial small subunit ribosomal RNA", at positions 338 to 795 of the family's 1533-position model. The record is from RNAcentral.